CGCUCUCUUUACAUAAGACGCACAUGGAACUCCAUGUUCAGCGCCUCUAUUCCUCAAUGAAGCCGCUACGAGCUCGAGUCCCCCCUCGUCCUCCUGAGUGGUCCCUUCCACUUCCGGUCUCGACACUUUCCAUUCAUUUCGCCCGGCUGCGGCCUGCUCGCCGGGCUCGGAGUGGCUUUGGACUGCAGGAACAAUCAGGGCGACCUGACCAGCUGCAGCUCCCUGUGCACACCCACUCAAGUCACCGGGUGGCAUGGCUGACAUUUGUCCUAGAUUGGCUAGGACAGCCGGCUUUCAAAUAGUCAUUAUUUUUGAAAUCAUGUGUUGCAACUUUUGUCUUAGGAAAUAGAGUCAUUGUUACUAUGAA
Molecule: long non-coding RNA, 367 nt
Filed under: Cavia porcellus (domestic guinea pig)
Lineage: Eukaryota; Metazoa; Chordata; Mammalia; Rodentia; Caviidae
Description: lncRNA (ENSCPOG00000035467.1)
Source: RNAcentral